CCGGUACAAGCGUAUAGCAGUCAUGCAGGCAAAACCGCAUGAAAAAUGUAAAGCGUUAUGUGGAUCGAACAUUAGUAGAGAAGCGUGUGAGCCAGCUGCCAAGAAAAGCCGCUAUUGUUUCAUAAGUACCCGUACCGUAAACCGACACAGGUGGAUGAGGAGAGAAUCCUAAGGCCGGCGGGAGAAGUGUUGUUAAGGAACUCGGCAAAAUGACUCCGUAACUUCGGGAGAAGGAGUGCCACAGAGAUGUGGCCGCAGAGAAAUGGCCCAAGCAACUGUUUAGCAAAAACACAGGUCUAUGCAAAACCGAAAGGUGAGGUAUAUGGGCUGACGCCUGCCCGGUGCUGGAAGGUUAAGAGGAGAGGUUAGAGCAAUCGAAGCUUUGAAUUUAAGCCCCAGUAAACGGCGGCCGUAACUAUAACGGUCCUAAGGUAGCGAAAUUCCUUGUCGGGUAAGUUCCGACCCGCACGAAAGGCGUAAUGAUUUGGGCACUGUCUCAACAACACACCCGGUGAAAUUGAAAUACCAGUGAAGAUGCUGGUUACCUGCGCCAGGACGGAAAGACCCCAUGGAGCUUUACUCCAGUUUGAUACUGGGAUUCGGUACUGUCUGUACAGGAUAGGUGGGAGGCUAGGAAAUGGUGACGCCAGUUGCCAUGGAGCCAACCUUGGGAUACCACCCUUACAGUACUGGGUUUCUAACCUGCAGCCGUAACCCGGCUGGGGGACAAUGUCUGACGGGGAGUUUGACUGGGGCGGUCGCCUCCGAAAGAGUAUCGGAGGCGCUCAAAGGUUCCCUCAGAACGGUUGGAAACCGUUCGAAGAGUGCAAAGGCAGAAGGGAGCUUGACUGCGACACCGACGGGUGGAGCAGAUACGAAAGUAGGACUUAGUGAUCCGGUGGUAUAAAGUGGGAUUGCCAUCGCUCAACGGAUAAAAGCUACCCUGGGAUAACAGGCUUAUCACUCCCAAGAGUUCACAUCGACGGAGUGGUUUGGCACCUCGAUGUCGGCUCAUCGCAUCCUGGAGCUGUAGCAGGUUCCAAGGGUUGGGCUGUUCGCCCAUUAAAGCGGUACGCGAGCUGGGUUCAGAACGUCGUGAGACAGUUCGGUCCCUAUCCGGCGUGGGCGUAGGAUAUUUGAGAGGAGCUGUCCUUAGUACGAGAGGACCGGGAUGGACAAACCUCUGGUGUAUCUGUUGUUUUACCAAAGGCAUGGCAGAGUAGCCAAGUUUGGCAGGGAUAAACGCUGAAGGCAUCUAAGCGUGAAGCCCCCCUCAAGAUAAGAUAUCCCAUCUUCGGAGUAAGACCCCUUGAAGACUACAAGGUUGAUAGGCUUCAGGUGUAAGUGCGGUAACGCACUCAGCUGAGAAGUACUAAUAGGUCGAGGACUUAUAAAA
This 1396-nucleotide ribosomal RNA is filed under the name metagenome. RNAcentral's name for it is "bacterial LSU rRNA". It matches the Rfam family "Bacterial large subunit ribosomal RNA", at positions 1507 to 2925 of the family's 2925-position model. The record is from RNAcentral.